This 77-nucleotide small RNA is filed under the name Winogradskyella wandonensis. RNAcentral describes it as "Flavo-1 RNA". It matches the Rfam family "Flavo-1 RNA". The record is from RNAcentral. Lineage: Bacteria; Pseudomonadati; Bacteroidota; Flavobacteriia; Flavobacteriales; Flavobacteriaceae.
UGUUUGCGUUAGGGAUAAUAGUGGAAAUCCUUUUGCGAAUUACGAGCAAAAGAUUGUAGCGAAUAGCCCGACCCGAU